UACCAGACUCCUACGGGAGGCAGCAGUAGGGAAUUUUCGGCAAUGGGGGGAACCCUGACCGAGCAACGCCGCGUGAAGGAAGAAGGAAUUCGUUCUGUAAACUUCUGUUAUAAAGGAAGAAAGACGGAUGGAGGAAAUGGCAUCCGAGUGACGGUACUUUAUGAGAAAGCCACGGCUAACUACGUGCCAGCAGCCGCGGUAAUACGUAGGUGGCAAGCGUUAUCCGGAAUUAUUGGGCGUAAAGAGGGAGCAGGCGGCAGCAAAGGUCUGUGGUGAAAGACUGAAGCUUAACUUCAGUAAGCCAUAGAAACCGGGCAGCUAGAGUGCAGGAGAGGAUCGUGGAAUUCCAUGUGUAGCGGUGAAAUGCGUAGAUAUACGGAGGAACACCAGUGGCGAAGGCGGAUUGCUGGACAGUAACUGACGCUGAGGCGCGAAAGCGUGGGGAGCAAACAGGAUUAGAUACCCGCGUAGC
This 472-nucleotide ribosomal RNA is filed under the name uncultured bacterium. Its description in RNAcentral is "partial 16S ribosomal RNA". It matches the Rfam family "Bacterial small subunit ribosomal RNA", at positions 329 to 794 of the family's 1533-position model. The record is from RNAcentral.